This is a long non-coding RNA of Oncorhynchus keta (chum salmon), 1595 nucleotides long. RefSeq lists it as uncharacterized. Lineage: Eukaryota; Metazoa; Chordata; Actinopteri; Salmoniformes; Salmonidae. The record is from RefSeq and is a predicted model, not a curated record. The transcript has 4 exons.
AAAUAAAAAACUUGAGAGGGAGCUCCAAGAAGAUGACACAGCUCAAAAUAAAAAUUAGGUAUAUUCUCGUAAAGUCAAGUGAGCCAUGACAUAUGAGCUCUUAUUGUGAGCACACAGGACGGUGGCAUCUUUCUAAGGUUUUUUUUAUUUUCCCAGCAAUCAGUACAACCAAGUCAUCGUUAUAAGGCAUCGCCCUCUUUUGCCCACCCCCCCAGCACCAGGUGUGGCCACUAGCCUAUAUGAAGGCCCAAAAUUGUGUGUUCCUUUCUGCUCUGACAAUGGCAUGCCCAUUCGUGCGAGAUGUGGUGGAUGAAGAAGCACUUGUGCUGAGGAGAGCCUUCAGGCGAGAAAGGGUCUUCAGGGACCGGUUGGACCCACUGGCCUUCCCUGACGACCAUCUAUAUGAAAGAUACAGGUUUUCUGCAGAUGGCAUCAGGUAUCUAUGCAGACUACUGGGUCCCAGGAUUAAGCACCGCACUGCACGGAGCCAUGCACUGAGUGUGGAGCAAAUGGUUUGUGUGGCCUUGCGCUUUUUGCUAGUGGAGCCUUCCUGUACUCAGUGGGGGAUGCAGAACAGCUGAACAAGGCCACAAUUUGCCGCACAAUAAGAAGUGUGUGUCUGGCUAUCAAAGCAUUAGCAGAUGUCUUCAUCUCCUUCCCUGGCCACAGAAGACUCUGUGACAUCAAAGAGGAGUUCUAUAGGAUUGCAGAUGGUCUGCAAUGCUGACUGUGUGAUCAGCAAUGUUGUGGCAAAAUGGCCUGGCUCAGUCCAUGACUCCAGAAUCUUUCGGGCCUCUGAAAUCUAUCAGUGCCUAUCACAAGGUGAAUUCUCUGGUGUGUUGCUGGGAGACAGGGGGUAUGGCUGCCAGCCUUUCUCCUGACACCUUUCACAGACCCCCAGGAAGCACAGCAGGCCUACAACCAUGCCCAUGCCAGGACCAGGGCCAGAGUUGAAAUGACCUUUGGCCUCCUGAAGGCACGCUUUCACUGCCUUCACAAAUUAAGGGUCAGCCCUGUUAGGGCAUGUGAUAUUACUGUGGCUUGUGCUGUCCUCCACAAUGUGGCCUGCCUGAGGAAGGAGAGGGCCCCAGAGUGCCACCAGCCAUGGACUGGGACAAUCCGGCAAUCUUCCCUGAUGACGACAGUGGUCGGCUGCUGAGGGACCAAUAUGUGUUGAAUUAUUUUAGUUAGUAUGUGUGCUUUCAAUUUUGGUUAAAUAUGUCCUGCGGUGGCAGAGGAAUUUGGGUUUUUUUGGGUUCGUUUUUUUACGAAUUUGGCCUCUUAUGAUGUUUGUGCGGUAUACUGUGUGUAAUACAAGGCUGCAGGGAGGCUACUGCAUCCAUUCAUUUGUCUGUUCAGUUGAUGUGUAUGGAUUUGUCCUGCAUUUAUUUUAGUGUGCAGACAUGCAGGGUGUGUUAUAUACAGACCUUUGAAUGUGUAUGUAUCAUUUUGUAUAAUAUGCUUGGAUUCUGUGCUUUCCAUCUUGUAGAGUCACUGUGACUUCAGUUUCGAAAGGAGCUGAUGGUUUACCUGCUUUGUUUUUUGUCCUUAUUCAAUAAAGGAACAUAAUGUUACACAUUGUGUUUUUAUAUUCA